CCAUACUCGGGGAUAGCCUUUCGAAAGAAAGAUUAAUAUCCGAUAGCAUAUAUUUCCCGCAUGGGUUUUAUAUUAAAGAAAUUCGGUAUGAGAUGGGGAUGCGUUCCAUUAGUUUGUUGGGGGGUAACGGCCCACCAAGACUACGAUGGAUAGGGGUUCUGAGAGGAAGGUCCCCCACAUUGGAACUGAGACACGGUCCAA
Molecule: ribosomal RNA, 201 nt
Filed under: uncultured bacterium
Lineage: Bacteria
Description: partial 16S ribosomal RNA
Rfam family: Bacterial small subunit ribosomal RNA
Source: RNAcentral